UUCAACCGGAAGCGCAUCCCAAAAAGCGGUCCCCGCUAGAAUGAAAAUCUCAUCCAUAUACACAUACAUGUACACAUAUCACGCUACGCACGUUCGCAGGAUCCUAAUGUUCUUCGUGACUUCCGGUACCAGGCGUACUCGUGCACCUCCGAAGGAGUCGUGUGUGGCUCACGGUGACCGGAUAUGGCGAAGAACUGGCUGACCAAAUCGCUCGACGAGUAUCUUUUCAUGCCGAUCACGCGUAACCCGUGUAACAAAUACCGAGAGCACCGAUCGAUGACAUCAUAUAUAUUCAUUGUGUACAUAGGUGGACAUUCGUGCUUAUUUUGCGCGCAUCUUCUAGACCGAUGUAAUUAUCAUUCCAUCAUGGCAUCACAAACGGAGAUAUUAAACUCGAAACGUCAUCUUUUUCCGCACUGGAACAAUGUACAGCAUUGAUAAGCAAGGAAGAACGUAGUACCAGAGAUCUCGGUGGAAGUAGGCCGUGCAAAUGAGAUGGACUCUGCGAAACACCUUUACUUAAACCGAAGCGAGCAGUCACAUGCUAAUUGCAGAACAAGCAGCUACAGAGUUUUGUAGGGCGCGACGCGAGAAAAAAAAAUUGGCGGAAAGAAACGACGAGGGGGAGAUCCGAAUGACAACGAUUGAAAUCAGAGGCAGGAACAUCAUCAAGCAAAGAAAGGAAGUGUAUCGGAUAGCUUCCGAGAUCGACGAUGGAAAGAUUCGUCCCAGACCGGCUGGUUAUUAGCUCGCCAAUAAUUAAGAUGAUUUGAAAAGUGAUGAUGAUAACAACAACAUUGUAAGACAACGUUUCUUGUGCGUGACUCCAUUGUUGCUUGUAUGAUCCACCUGUUACGCGAAUGUGAUCGUGAAACUUAAAUAACGCGAUCGUUGUGACAAUCGUUGAAGAGUAUACGCCUCGGGAAAACAGGAAAUUGAUUCGAACAAAAGAUUCAUUCGGUAACCAAAGACAAUUUUAUAUCGAUUAAACGCGCAACAAAAUAAUUUAAACGCGUGAAUAUUGAACAAACUUUAUUUAUAUAACAAACGUACCUUCUCUAGAAAAAAAAUUAACAUAUACUAUAAAUAGUUCUAAUAU
Cataglyphis hispanica is the source of this 1099-nucleotide long non-coding RNA. RefSeq lists it as uncharacterized. NCBI's taxonomy places the organism in Eukaryota, Metazoa, Arthropoda, Insecta, Hymenoptera, Formicidae. The record is from RefSeq and is a predicted model, not a curated record. The transcript is spliced from 3 exons.